GAUGAACGCUGGCGGCGUGCCUAAUACAUGCAAGUCGAGCGAACGGACGAGAAGCUUGCUUUUCUGAUGUUAGCGGCGGACGGGUGAGUAACACGUGGAUAACCUACCUAUAAGACUGGGAUAACUUCGGGAAACCGGAGCUAAUACCGGAUAAUAUUUUGAACCGCAUGGUUCAAAAGUGAAAGACGGUCUUGAUGUCACUUAUAGAUGGAUCCGCGCUGCAUUAGCUAGUUGGUAAGGUAACGGCUUACCAAGGCAACGAUGCAUAGCCGACCUGAGAGGGUGAUCGGCCACACUGGAACUGAGACACGGUCCAGACUCCUACGGGAGGCAGCAGUAGGGAAUCUUCCGCAAUGGGCGAAAACCUGACGGAGCAACGCCGCGUGAGUGAUGAAGGUCUUCGGAUCGUAAAACUCUGUUAUUAGGGAAGAACAUAUGUGUAAGUAACUGUGCACAUCUUGACGGUACCUAAUCAGAAAGCCACGGCUAACUACGUG
This 497-nucleotide ribosomal RNA is filed under the name uncultured bacterium. RNAcentral describes it as "partial 16S ribosomal RNA". It matches the Rfam family "Bacterial small subunit ribosomal RNA", at positions 28 to 507 of the family's 1533-position model. The record is from RNAcentral.